UACGAAGGUGGCAAGCGUUGUUCGGAUUUACUGGGCGUAAAGGGAGCGUAGGUGGUUAGGUAAGCCCUCCGGGAAAUCUUCAGGCUUAACCUGAAAAGGUCGGGGGGGACUGCCUGGCUAGAGGACGGUAGAGGCAAUCGGAAUUCCAGGUGUAGCGGUGAAAUGCGUAGAUAUCUGGAAGAACACCGGUGGCGCAAGCGGAUUGCUGGGCCAUAACUGACACUGAGGAACGAAAGCUAGGGGAGCGAAUGGG
RNAcentral lists this ribosomal RNA (253 nucleotides) under uncultured bacterium. RNAcentral's name for it is "partial 16S ribosomal RNA". It matches the Rfam family "Bacterial small subunit ribosomal RNA", at positions 524 to 776 of the family's 1533-position model. The record is from RNAcentral.